RNAcentral lists this ribosomal RNA (497 nucleotides) under uncultured bacterium. RNAcentral's name for it is "partial 16S ribosomal RNA". It matches the Rfam family "Bacterial small subunit ribosomal RNA", at positions 28 to 507 of the family's 1533-position model. The record is from RNAcentral.
GAUGAACGCUGGCGGCGUGCCUAAUACAUGCAAGUCGAGCGAACAGACGAGGAGCUUGCUCCUCUGACGUUAGCGGCGGACGGGUGAGUAACACGUGGAUAACCUACCUAUAAGACUGGGAUAACUUCGGGAAACCGGAGCUAAUACCGGAUAAUAUAUUGAACCGCAUGGUUCAAUAGUUAAAGACGGUUUUGCUGUCACUUAUAGAGUGAUCAGCGCCGCAUUAGCUAGUUGGUGAGGUAACUGCUUACCAAGGCGUCGAUGCGUAGCCGACCUGAGAGGGUGAGUGGCCACACUGGAACUGUGACACGUACCAAUAUCCAUAGUGAGGGAGCAGUAGGUAAUCUUACGCAAUCGGCGAAAGCCUGCUGGAGCGACCCUGCCCGUGAGAAGACCGUCCCCGGAUUUGAAUACUCUGCUAUGGGGGAAGCACAAAUGUGUCUUUUUGUAUGCACGUUGUGACGGUACCCAUUCAGAAAGUCACGUCAAACUCCUGG